GUUUGUAAUGGUUUUAAAGUGAUUCAAUUGUCGUAGGAGUGAACGGCAGAAAACAAAUUAUGUCAGGCAAAACAUGUGUCUGGUUAUGUGAACAGACAGGAUUCAGAAAGUGAAGUGGGAGAUAGUACUGCAACGAUCUUUGUGGGUAAAACUGAAUUUCAGGAUGUACUGUUCUGUUUACAACAUAGGUUAAAUAAAUAUUGUCAUUGAAUAUUUAAGUAAUGUAUAUACCUGGUCCACAUUCGAGAGGCUUCACAAUACUGGACUUUUGAUCUUCCCCAUAAAAGUAGUAAAGACUUUGCAGCUUCUGGUGCCUCUCAGCAACUGUAAAUGGCACAUUGAUGAAAUUUCCAAGGGAAACAGCAACUUGCUUGAAGUAUGUGUGCUUUGACUCAAACCUCAUGCACCAAGAUCGUACCAUUGGGCCAAGCCUGCAAAAGUAUUAAUUGUGAAACUUGUACAUUGCCUUGUACUAGACUAAAUAUCACAACAAUAAGGUUUCACAAUGUUAAUUACAUUACUAAAAAUAAUUGGCAUGCCAUUUACCAUUAGCCAUAAUAUAAUUUUGUAUAAUUCUA
Xenia sp. Carnegie-2017 is the source of this 578-nucleotide long non-coding RNA. RefSeq lists it as uncharacterized. NCBI's taxonomy places the organism in Eukaryota, Metazoa, Cnidaria, Anthozoa, Malacalcyonacea, Xeniidae. The transcript is spliced from 3 exons. The record is from RefSeq and is a predicted model, not a curated record.